UACGUAGGGUGCGAGCGUUGUCCGGAAUUACUGGGCGUAACGAGCUCGUAGGCGGUUUGUCACGUCGUCUGUGAAAUCCUCCAGCUUAACUGGGGGCGUGCAGGCGAUACGGGCAGACUUGAGUACUACAGGGGAGACUGGAAUUCCUGGUGUAGCGGUGAAAUGCGCAGAUAUCAGGAGGAACGCCGGUGGCGAAGGCGGGUCUCUGGGUAGUAACUGACGCUGAGGAGCGAAAGCAUGGGUAGCGAACAGGAUUAGAUACCCCGGUAGU
Molecule: ribosomal RNA, 271 nt
Filed under: uncultured prokaryote
Description: partial 16S ribosomal RNA
Rfam family: Bacterial small subunit ribosomal RNA
Source: RNAcentral